AUGGCGUAGAGCACGAAUCUGACCUCAAUUUUAACUAACUCCACAUAUAUAGAAAGAUAUGAGGAGUUGAAUUUUGAGUUGUGUCAACUGAGUUGCUUCGAUUUGACCUCAAAGCAACUAAAUCUUCUUGCCUACAUUGGUAGGACUUCAGACAACCAAAGAUCCAAGAGAAUUGAUGAGAAUUGAGUGAGAAUCGAAGAGAAGAAAAUUUCUAGAAAAUACCUUCAAUGUUGUGCAGAACUUGA
RNAcentral lists this long non-coding RNA (245 nucleotides) under Lathyrus oleraceus (garden pea). RNAcentral describes it as "Pisum sativum (pea) long non-coding RNA (PSAT_LNC013287)". Lineage: Eukaryota; Viridiplantae; Streptophyta; Magnoliopsida; Fabales; Fabaceae. The record is from RNAcentral.